Molecule: small nuclear RNA, 130 nt
Organism: Planococcus citri (citrus mealybug)
Lineage: Eukaryota; Metazoa; Arthropoda; Insecta; Hemiptera; Pseudococcidae
Product: U4atac minor spliceosomal RNA
Exons: 1
Source: RefSeq, a predicted model, not a curated record
CCAGUCCUUGUCUUUGGGGAGCUCAGCGCUCAGGGAGCGUAUAGCGAGAGCGUUGCUGCUGACACCAAGAUAUAAAAAACCCCGCACCCGCACGAACUUACCUUCGCUGCUGAGUGCAAUUUUUGAAAGU